AUGGAGUACCUGAGGAGCAUAUUGGACGAGGGCAACAGAAAUGAUGUGAAUACUGGCACACCAUCAUUUGUUCCUAUGCCGACGUAUUUUUCUGGGGCGCGGCAAUGGUUUAUAGAUCAAGUUCAAGACCCUAAACCAAUAAUAAAUCCCAAAGGCGUACCAGCCAAAGAAUCGAAUAAGAGGUUGAAGCCAUUCCUGGAGAAUUUGAAAGCAAAAAAGAAAACAUUGAAGAAAGUUCAUGGUCAGUUGAGUAGGGGGAGGAAGAAAAAAGUGAACAAUACUGUGGAAGAAGUAGAAGAAGAAGAAGAAGAAGAGGCAGAAGAAGAGGAUCGUGCUAAGAAGAGGAAACCGGUGAAGAAAGCUUCAGCAAAGGUGACUGAAGUUAUUAUGAUGACUCGGGGGAGAAAGAGAAAAGAGAACAAUGACGAAGUGUGUGCUAAGAACAAAAGACCUUUCAAGAAAACGGCUGGAAAGUCUAAGUAG
Molecule: ribosomal RNA, 483 nt
Filed under: Triticum aestivum (bread wheat)
Lineage: Eukaryota; Viridiplantae; Streptophyta; Magnoliopsida; Poales; Poaceae
Description: partial small subunit ribosomal RNA
Source: RNAcentral